This 254-nucleotide ribosomal RNA is filed under the name uncultured bacterium. RNAcentral describes it as "partial 16S ribosomal RNA". It matches the Rfam family "Bacterial small subunit ribosomal RNA", at positions 524 to 776 of the family's 1533-position model. The record is from RNAcentral.
UACGUAGGGUGCGAGCGUUGUCCGGAAUUACUGGGCGUAAAGAGCUCGUAGGUGGUUUGUCGCGUUGUUCGUGAAAACUCACAACUCAAUUGUGGGCGUGCGGGCGAUACGGGCAGACUGGAGUACUGCAGGGGAGACUGGAAUUCCUGGUGUAGCGGUGGAAUGCGCAGAUAUCAGGAGGAACACCGGUGGCGAAGGCGGGUCUCUGGGCAGUAACUGACGCUGAGGAGCGAAAGCGUGGGGGAGCGAACAGG